This 564-nucleotide ribosomal RNA is filed under the name Colletotrichum acutatum. Its description in RNAcentral is "eukaryotic LSU rRNA". The stretch from base 206 to 359 matches the Rfam family "5.8S ribosomal RNA". The record is from RNAcentral. Lineage: Eukaryota; Fungi; Ascomycota; Sordariomycetes; Glomerellales; Glomerellaceae.
UACCUGCGGAGGGAUCWUUACUGAGUUACACGGCAWCUAUAACCCUUUGUGAACGUACCUAACCGUUGCUUCGGCGGGCAGGGGAAGCCUCUCGCGGGCCUCCCCUCCCGGCGCCGGCCCCCACCACGGGGACGGGGCGCCCGCCGGAGGAAACCAAACUCUAUUUACACGACGUCUCUUCUGAGUGGCACAAGCAAAUAAUUAAAACUUUUAACAACGGAUCUCUUGGUUCUGGCAUCGAUGAAGAACGCAGCGAAAUGCGAUAAGUAAUGUGAAUUGCAGAAUUCAGUGAAUCAUCGAAUCUUUGAACGCACAUUGCGCUCGCCAGCAUUCUGGCGAGCAUGCCUGUUCGAGCGUCAUUUCAACCCUCAAGCACCGCUUGGUUUUGGGGCCCCACGGCCGACGUGGGCCCUUAAAGGUAGUGGCGGACCCUCCCGGAGCCUCCUUUGCGUAGUAACUAACGUCUCGCACUGGGAUCCGGAGGGACUCUUGCCGUUAAACCCCCAAAUUCUUUACAGGUUGACCUCGGAUCAGGUAGGAAUACCCGCUGAACUUAAGCAUAUC